UGCAUUUACAUAUGUUUAAUGUUACUUUUGUAUUGUGAAAUAGAUACUUAAAGCUGCUUUGGGAUAGUUCACAUAAGCGAUCGCUUUAAAAUUGAUAAAAAUACGGAAGUUUGAAAAUUGCUGGGACGUACUAUACAUAUUGUCCCAGUAGUUCCGAAAGGGUUAAUGACGUAACCCUAAAAGAAGUGUAACAAAAAUAUAAAUGCAAAAUUGUGUUUGGGAAAAAGUUCGUGUGCCGUACAGAUCGAGACGCCGUUGGCUGAACACUGGAAUUUGCUGACGCACCUGAUCCACAAUAGCAAAGUCAAUGUCGGCUGUUACAGUCUGUUCGCCUUCAUCGGCGCACGCGAUGAUCUUCGCCCACGGGUCGAUGAUCAUUGAAUGGCCGUAGGCAACAUAA
Drosophila sulfurigaster albostrigata is the source of this 400-nucleotide long non-coding RNA. RefSeq lists it as uncharacterized. The record is from RefSeq and is a predicted model, not a curated record. NCBI's taxonomy places the organism in Eukaryota, Metazoa, Arthropoda, Insecta, Diptera, Drosophilidae. The transcript has 2 exons.